UCCAGAUGGAAGGAGACCAGAGGGCUGUUGUGUUCUAGAAGGAAUUAAUGCAAAUCCAACUAGCUGAACCAGGCACGUCAGUUGGUAAAGAAAUGCACUUUUUUUCCCCUCUUAACAAUCAACUGGCAAUGAAUAGAUUCUCACACUUUCAGAUGAGAGAAAUGCAGCCGAUUUGAACGUUGAGGUUGUGAAAACUUCAGGAAGUUGCUAGAAGAUCUGGGAUAUCUACAGAAAGGAAACAAGCAAAAUUCAUCACUGCUACCAAGAGGAGGAGAGUUACAGAUGCUCAGGAUUUGAGUAGAAAGGAACAGGGACGGAGCUGAACAGAUCCAACACCUUAAAGGACAAUUGGAUCUCAAAAUAUGAAAGACCCCUCAUUCAAUAAAGCAACAGGAUUGGCUCUGAGGAGCGGUAAGCAACAUUUGAUGAAGGAAACAGGCAGCGUGGACAGUAUUCAAGACACAAUGUUUAAAAGUUGCUGCUGGGAUGGAAGCAAAGAAGAAAGCCCUGGAGAUGGGUUAGUGCUGGGACACAGGCACUAUCCUGGAGGGGCCUGGGACAGGGUGUUUAACCAUAGUGACCAGUGGGUCCUUUCCCCACUGUGGUCCUGGCUCGCAUGCACAGGGUGAAACCGAUCGCCAUGUUUGGGGUCAGGAAGGAAUUUUCCUCCAGGGCAGAUUGGCCAGAGACCCUGGAGGUUUUUCGCCUUCCUCUGGGGCAUCGAGCAGGGACCAGCCCUUAGGGCCAUUUAGGAACAGACAUAAUAAAAUCAAUCAGAGAGAA
Long non-coding RNA from Mauremys reevesii (Reeves's turtle), 783 nucleotides. RefSeq lists it as uncharacterized. The record is from RefSeq and is a predicted model, not a curated record. Lineage: Eukaryota; Metazoa; Chordata; Testudines; Geoemydidae. The transcript is spliced from 3 exons.